AAUUCAAUCACUUAUCAAAAACGUAUCGAAAUUUGAUUCAAAAAAAAGAAGUAUAAGAUAAAAUCUUACCGCAGUAUUAUCGAUAUCAUUGCAGAGUGAUAAGCCGAGUGUCAGGGGAUUCUCUAACUUAAUGACCUGUAAAUAAGAACCAUAUAAUAUUAAUAUGUAAUCACCAAACAGUACGCUGCUAUAUCUUGUAAGAGCAGAACGUCUCAGUGUCAUUACGUCUGCUUUUUUAUUGCAUUUUUAUAACUCGGGAUAAAAAAUUACUCACAAUAAUUCUUAACUUUCAUGGAAGCUAUUAUUUAUGUUAGGAUAAAUUGUAUGACAUUACUGCAUACAUUCAUAUCAGAUUAAAAUUCUAACUGAUAUUAUAAAUUAUAUUUCCAACGCGUUUUAUAUAUACUGCAAAUUAAAUAUGGAUAUACUAAAGCUGGCAUUGGUGCCGCUGGCUUUAACUGUGGGUCUCACUUAUCUCAACGUUAAAAAAAACUCUUACAGUCGAAGAGAGAGGCGUGUGCAUAAGCAUAAAUCUGUUUCUGAAUUCUGUACACGGAAUGACUGUUCAAGGCCAGGUUCCCACAAACAUACAGUCCUAAAUGAUCAAGAACGUGUACAUUGAUGCAGUACAACACACGCGGUCUGGGAAAAUAGGUGGCCGUAAGGAAAUAUCUAUAGAGAAUCAAUACUUGGUCAGCUUGGGUUAAUAGAUGUCCCGCGUGUAGAGCUUCCAUAUUGGAGUUAGUCUUGUCAGACACAGAUAACGUCGGGGUGGAAAGGGACACUAAAUAUAAUAAAGGUUUCAUAUCACUAGCUUUACGGAAGACAGCGUUAUUAUGGCUGAGGAUACUGGGUUGUUGGAUUCAUGUAUACUAAAUAUAUAUAUAUACUUUUUGUGUACCCAAUGUUUUAAGUCUCAUUUAUUAUUAAAUGUAAAAUAUCGUUUCAGUCUGAUAUAUGUGACCAGUGUCGUCUAUUGGGACAUAUACUUAUAUUGAUUGAGAAAAUUGGGCUGUGCCCUUAAUAAUCCACUAAAAAAAUGAACUCAACCCUGAUUGAAUCAGUUACAAGGGCAAAUAUAUUUUAUAGAUUUGUUACACCAAAAUUAUAUAAAGAUUUUCUUCCCUUAUAAAAAAAAUAUAAAUACUUCUUGUAUUUAUAUUUUAUUCAAUUAUUUUGACGAAAUUGAUUGUUUUUUUUAAUUCUCAUAAUAUAAAAUUGUUCCUCAAGCAAAACUAGCAGUCAUAAUUUGUUUAAAUUAAAAAUAUUAGAAUGAAACGAGAAAAAUAUUUUUAAAAAUACAAAAUUUGUGAGUUCGGAAAUAAAAAUGUUUUUCAAUUAUUUUUUUUAAAACCUUUUUAAAUCGCUAGAUUUGAAAGUAUAACAAAACAACAUCACGCAAUUGAUAUUUUUUCAAGACGGCCUAAAUCGACAUUUUUUUUUUCAAAACUGUAGUUAUCCUGUGUUGUAUAUUCUAUAAAACAAGAUAUUGUACCUGAAAAAUACGUCGCGUAUAUUUUUGUCUAUUUUUUAUUUUAAAAAUUAAAAUUAAAAAAAUAUAUAAAAUAUCAAACGUAACAUGUGUAAUGUGCAUCUACUAAUUUAUUAAAUUUUAAGUAAAUAAAUUGUUCUUAAGUUAA
Molecule: long non-coding RNA, 1640 nt
Organism: Danaus plexippus (monarch butterfly)
Lineage: Eukaryota; Metazoa; Arthropoda; Insecta; Lepidoptera; Nymphalidae
Exons: 2
Source: RefSeq, a predicted model, not a curated record